This is a long non-coding RNA of Mesocricetus auratus (golden hamster), 900 nucleotides long. RefSeq lists it as uncharacterized. Lineage: Eukaryota; Metazoa; Chordata; Mammalia; Rodentia; Cricetidae. The transcript is spliced from 2 exons. The record is from RefSeq and is a predicted model, not a curated record.
AAUGUAAAAAAUAAAUUAAUAAAAAAGAAAAACAAAAACCUUAUAUUUGUCUGAAAUUUCUCUUUAACUACAAAGACCCUAGUUAUUUUGAGGGCUCAUAAUCUGAGCACCCGUGUUGCAUCCUGGUAAAACAGCGCCUGCUGGAGGAUUGCAUACUCCAGAGGUCUAUAAUUCUGUCAAUGUUAAAUAAAAGUUUUUUUCUUUCUUUUUUAAAAGGCAAGAGGUUUCACUGUGGCCCUGCAACCCACUAUAUAGACCAGGCUGACUGAGAUUAAAUGGAGGAAGAUAUGCUUGUGGAAUUUUGGGAUUAAAUGUGAACUACUAUGCCUGGCUUUAGGGGGGAAGCCCAGGAAGUGUUCUACCGUGUUUGUUAUGUCAUCAAAGUUGAUGUCAGCGGUGGCAAGCUGUGAACAAUGAACGGGUGAUAUUGGAGCAGCAGGUGGCAGGGACAGGGUUUCUGAGAUACUGUAUCCAACUCUUAUUGAGUCAGCCUUGUGCCCUGAAUCACUUUUCAGGGGGCAGUUACUGUUAUUGGAGGGAAAACUUGAGUCUUAUUGCUACAGAAAAAUCAGAAACAAUGGAUGGUGUCUUACAAGACAUCAGCAAAAAUUGCAGUGCCACUGGUGACUGUUGUUACUUUGUUGUAAGACUCUAACAGAAUUUCCCAUACCUGCCAACUUGAAAUAAGCGAUAGACAACUGUUCUUCUCCACUAUAUGUACAUAUGUACAGUUUAAUAGAAGGUCUUCUCCCAGAUCACUAUUCAUGCCUUUUGAGAUAAUACAGGCGGGGUCUGUUGAGACUGCUGACAUUUUCAGUGACCUGUGUGCUACCAAGUGUCUUGUGAUCUUACUGCUGACCCUUUACUGCUGCUGGGAAAUAAAGCAAAGAAUUUGAGUAA